This 30-nucleotide small RNA is filed under the name Bombyx mori (domestic silkworm). RNAcentral describes it as "ovarian small RNA-17400". The record is from RNAcentral. Lineage: Eukaryota; Metazoa; Arthropoda; Insecta; Lepidoptera; Bombycidae.
GGCCAACGUACUGCCCGGUUGUGGGCGAUA